Non-coding RNA from Potamilus streckersoni, 73 nucleotides. NCBI's taxonomy places the organism in Eukaryota, Metazoa, Mollusca, Bivalvia, Unionida, Unionidae. The record is from the annotation of a GenBank genome assembly.
UCUGGUGGCCUAAGUGGUUAAAGCAUCCGCUUCGGAUGCGGAAGAUCGCGGGUUCGAAUCUCGGCCUAGUCAU